This 74-nucleotide transfer RNA is filed under the name Camelus dromedarius (Arabian camel). It matches the Rfam family "tRNA". Rfam says of the family: Transfer RNA (tRNA) molecules are approximately 80 nucleotides in length. Their secondary structure includes four short double-helical elements and three loops (D, anti-codon, and T loops). Lineage: Eukaryota; Metazoa; Chordata; Mammalia; Artiodactyla; Camelidae. The record is from Rfam by way of RNAcentral. RNAcentral also lists the same sequence under 1 other name.
GAGGGCAUAGCUCAGUGGUAGAGUACAUGCUUAGCAUACACCCGAGGUCCUGGGUUCAAUCCCCAGCACCCCCA